RNAcentral lists this long non-coding RNA (514 nucleotides) under Sorghum bicolor (sorghum). RNAcentral describes it as "long non-coding RNA (SBIC_LNC005899)". Lineage: Eukaryota; Viridiplantae; Streptophyta; Magnoliopsida; Poales; Poaceae. The record is from RNAcentral.
CAGGGCUAUGAAGGUCAGACUGUCUCGACCAAUGAUGGGCGAGGGGCAUUGACAUGAGCUGUUCUUGCAAUGAACGGACGGGCACUUGGAUUGGCAAUGACAGGGCCUGACUGACUAAUCCAUCCCUCUUCUGACGGCAAUCAUUGGGAGGAGGCAUAUGAGCUAGAGAAGGCAAAGGAUGAAUCGGAGAGACAUGCAUGGGCACAAGAAAAGACAGCCUAGCUGGGAUCCAGAAGGAUUUGUGUUAGUUGUUGCAAGGAUCAAGACGGUGAAAGUAAUGCACCUUUGGUAUAUGCAUAAACAAUGACCUCUGAAGCUGACAGGCUCAUUAGUCAUAGCACAAACCCCACAAUGAUGAGAGGAGCUUGGAUGGAUGCAAUCACAGUGCUGCUUUCACCCACCGUCAGAUCAAUUGAGUUGGCAGAAUGGCUUGUUAGAGCUCCUAAUCAGGCCGUUCCAUGUAGCUUCAUAUAGUAAACAUCAUAAACCAUUCUUUUUCUGAUCCUCUUAGCGG